UAACGAAUCUUCCGCAAUGCACGAAAGUGUGACGGAGCGACGCCGCGUGUAGGACGAAGCCCUUCGGGGUGUAAACUACUGUCAGGGGAAAGAAAGUUCUGAUCUACCCCAGAGGAAGGGACGGCUAACUCUGUGCCAGCAGCCGCGGUAAGACAGAGGUCCCGAGCGUUAGGCGGAAUCACUGGGCUUAAAGCGUGUGUAGGCGGAUGCCUAAGUACCUUGUGAAAUCCCACGGCUCACCCGUGGAACUGCUUGGUAUACUGGGUGUCUUGAGCCACUUAGGGGCUACCGGAACAAAUGGUGGAGCGGUGAAAUGCGUAGAUAUCAUUUGGAACGCCAAUGGUGAAAACAGGUAGCUGGGAGUGUGCUGACGCUGAGACACGAAAGCCAGGGGAGCAAAC
Molecule: ribosomal RNA, 401 nt
Filed under: uncultured bacterium
Lineage: Bacteria
Description: bacterial SSU rRNA
Rfam family: Bacterial small subunit ribosomal RNA
Source: RNAcentral